This 5190-nucleotide long non-coding RNA is filed under the name Zostera marina. Its description in RNAcentral is "long non-coding RNA (ZMAR_LNC000051)". The record is from RNAcentral. Lineage: Eukaryota; Viridiplantae; Streptophyta; Magnoliopsida; Alismatales; Zosteraceae.
GCUAAUCAUCUUGCUACAGUGUUAACGGUUUAGGGAAUUAGGUAAUACGAAUUAACCUAAUUCUUUCCCCUUUUUUCACUUGAUUCUUCACCGUCCGGCGAGCUUCUUCCUCCGGACUUCAGGUGCUCGCUCAUACGUCCGAUACAGGAGCGCGCCUCCAUUUUAACAUCCUCCAUAUUUGAUAGAGUACUUUAUUGCUGGAAUGUCGACAACACAGAGGAGUGAAGUCAUGAAUCAUUUGGUUAAAAUAAGAGUCAAGUCUUCAUUUACACUUUACGAAUUUAUUAACUCUCUUUCGAAACUAUAUUAUUAGAGUACAAAUUAUUAAGGACCAUGAGGAUACUUUCGUUCCUCCACAUAUUAUUAAUGACCUUCUGAUAAAGGUUGUCUAUUGCACAAAUAUACUUCAGAAUUUUUCAGACUUGACCAAGCACAAGUUCUGUAAAGUCUGAAAUAUUUCAUCCGCGCCCACACUCUCAUGUUUGUCCGAAAAGUUAUGAUUGUACGUAUUCAUGCAUGCAGAGAUUAUUACUUAUCAUGUUUAAUAAUAUGCUACCGAAAGAGUUUAUCAAUAUUACCACCGAAGUCAGUCGUUUUUUCACCAACAUAUGUUCUCCAACACUCAAAGAAAAUAAAAUGAAGAAACUUGGAGAGUCCAUUGUGGAGACGAUUUGUAGAUUGAUCAAUCUUUUGUUCAUUGACCCGAUAGUGUCUCCUUCUUCCAUGACGAAGUUCUCGAAUUCCCGAUGAGCAUAUAAGAGUUUGUUUUCUCUUACAUGAGAUGUGCCUUCAUGAAUGGAUUCCAACUGAUGCCAGAUUAAUUUCAUGAGCUGUAUCGAAGACACGGAUAGAGUUGUACUCAUAUUCAUCUAAUGCGUCAUAUAGUGCAUUCAUAAUUCUUGCAUUGAAUCUCCAGUUCUGUUUGUCUAUGGUAGUCCAUUUGUCUUUUUCAGUAGUUGGAGCUUCAUAUUUUUCUUGAGUUAUCUUCUAUAUUGCACUGUACAGAGACAUCAGAUGUAUCCUCAUCUUUUUCUUUAAGAAAUCAUACCUCGUUCCAUCAAAGAUUGAAAGUUUGUUUGAUGCAAUAUGAUGUCAUAUUAACAAUAGAUGUAACCUUGUUAAUAAUUUACUUGGCUCUGAUACAACUUGUAAGAUCGUGAUCAGAGGCUGGAUCGAGAGAGGGGGUUAUAGUCUCUUUUCGUGAAAUCUCAGUUUAGUGUGGAAACAUUGAGAUCUACAAGUUGAAGAUAUAGGAUAUACUUUUGUGUAUUGGAAUUUUCACUUUCAAAGUCAACUUAAGUGUAUAAAUAUUAAGUUUCCUUAUGUGUGAUUACCUUCAAGGUAAACUGUAGUUUAUAGUUUAUUGUAAAUACUAGGUUUAUUUGUUGUUUUGUACCUUCAAAGCCCAUUGUAGUAUAUUGUUUGGUACCGAGGUCCGUCCUCGCCCGAGCAACGUGCCAGGGCCGGCGGAAACCCAGAAAGUCUAUGAAGGAAUCUUAUAAGUACCUACCCUGGUCCAACAGAAGAGGGGGUUGACAGUUUAGAGAGAAAGUGCCAAGAGUUGUGUGUAUGAGCAUCCCAUUAUGAGCUCAUACAUGAUCAGUGGUAAACCUGAACAAAGCAGCCGGCAGAAGGAGGAGGAUGGCUACGGGAAGCGGUUACCACAGAGGAGAGAGAUCGAGGCAUCGUGCAGAGAGAUGCCGCGAGCCGGAAAGGACCCCAGAGGUGAUAAAAACAGCGUGGUCGGACGCAUUGGAAGAGGACCCGGACAGAACCGAGCCCGACCUAUCACACAGGAGAGAGCAGCUCUCCAAGGCACUUAAGGCCCGGGAGGAAACACGACGCCUAGAGGAGAAGUAGCGCACGCAGAGGAGGCCAAGCAGGUACCCGUCUCUCACUGAGAGGAGGGAGAAGAAAGGACACGACGAGCGUCGCCAAGAAAGACGUACCGGAAAAGAGGAGAGACGGGAGAACACGAAGCUCACCGAGCUGGUCUCCGCCCUACAAGAGAGCCAGCGACAACUGCAGGAGAAGGUCCUCCAACUCACGACCGAAGCCACACCCUGGAGUCAGAUGGAGCAGGAGGUGGAUAGCCCGGGAGCGACGCGGCCCUAAUGGUGCAUGGGGCCAGAGGGGAGGCCCUGGCACAAUACCUGUUGGACGACGAAUACCCGCAGGGCGCUCACGGGCGACGCAAUCGCAUGGUACAGAACGCUCCCAGCGGGGUUCGUCCACACCUAUGAGGACCUGGAAAAGACGUUCAAAAAGGUUUUCGCACACCAAGGCCCAAGUACAGAGCUACCCUCAAUGCUACUAAGCAAGAGGAUUUCGAAAGCACGCACGAAUACAUGGACCGGUUCGCGAGCGAAAUCCAGAAAAUCGAAGGGAUACAGGAGGAAAUGAUUCUGUACGCCGUCAACGUGGGCCUAAGGCCCACCUUUUUCGCAGGGGACCUCAUGAGGAAACCCCCAAGUACAUUUACGGAGGUCAUGGAGAGAUCUCAUGGGGAGUCCAAUGUGGAGGAUUACCUUAUGGCCAAAAUACAGGAUCAUAAGCGCCAAUAGAAGCAUAAAGGCGCCCCACUUGGGGGAGGGGGACAAUAGCAGCAAUCGCAGCCCAAGCCCCCGAAGGCGCCACAGGCAACGAUAUGCAAGGAAAGCGCGCCUGGGGGCGGCGGACGACGGGAGUUCGACGGGUCACUUGAAAGAUCUUGGCCGAACUCGGGUCAGGCAGGCCACUUGAAAGAAACGAAACCUUGAUAUUUGGAGGGAAAUACAGAACAGAGGAAUGGAGUAGCAGAGGAAGCGAGAACCAAAAGAUAGUCCGGGAAGAAGGAGAAGGUACGGGAGACGGCGUGGCAAUCAAGAGCUUCAAUGGGAAGAUAUACACCCAACCGAGAAGUACUACUGGCCAACACGCAACCAAGGACGGAGGACAGGGAAAAGAUUCCGCGAACCUUACUAUCCAGCGGACGAUGGAUGUCAACUACAAAGAAAAUGCGAUUACAGGUCACGGAGGCGAUGGGAAGGCGUACGGCGGGGAAGGAAACAAUAAUAUAUUAUAGGCGGAGAUGGAAGUAGGCAACGCACGUGGUACGAUCACCAACCCGCUCACAUAGGAUGGGUACGACAGCGGUCAAAGGAUGAACAAUGGUCGAACUCAAUUUGAAGCCAUGCUAGAUGAAAUCAAUGGACAAAUCAACCAGGAUGGGUCCAAAUCCAACUCAUGUGCGAACCAAUCUACCAAAUUGGGUGGACAGCUGGAUCAAUUUAUUUCCAAAACAGGUACGGAUCACUUAGCCAAAUCAACACCACAUGGGAGUGAGCACAUUGGGGUCAGACCAAACAGAAACAGAAACCAGGCUAAGUCAACGGGAGGAUUUAUAAAACCAAAUCAACCGAGCCUGCAUCAAUUGGGGUUCGACCAAGGGCUGAUUGAUAUCCAAAUUAACUCAGGCUAUGAAAUUCCGAAAAAGACCCUGGACAAAAGAGAUGGACAAAGGGUAGAAAAUUCAAAGUUCUUUCAAUUAGCAAAUUAAAGGAGAAGAAACUAAAAAGGGGUAUCAGAUCCAAACGAAAAAGUCCGACCCGAGUAACGACCCGACCCGAUAAUUUCAAGAAGAUGCAAUCCAACAGCGCCGACAUCGGAAAGAUCAUCGUCGGGAAAAGCGGAAUGCCGAUCAGAACUGCAAUCUAUAGGAACGUCCGGAGAUCCGAAGAUAAUGCGACGAUCCAACAUGGAGGUAAGAAUGAGAAGGAUCACAACACCCGACGAAGGGUGUGAUCAACAAUAAUCGAUAACCAAGGAUACCAAAACGACUUAUGGUGAUUGAAGAAGGGGAUAUAGGGGCGGAGCGAACCCUCUCAAACAAAAGAUAUGGAUGAGGAACCGAAGAGAGGAAAGGAGGGGGGCAGAGUCGCAAUCUCUCCCCAUCAGUAGAAACAAUAAGGGAGAGGAGAGCACGAAGAUGCAACCGUGGGGAUGAGCCACACGGGACCGCGGGUCUAUCGGUUGUGGUUGAGGCAUUAUAAGCUAUCCAAAGGAAGUUGUAGGAACAACUCCUAAGGUGCCUAACAGAAUGCCAGAACACCCUCGAGUUAGACGGGGAAAACGUGAUGAACAGUGCAGAUGGAGGCACAUGAACCCUUGGCUUGGCAACGUAGGGUGAGGGAAAGCUCUGGCCACACACCUACUCGCAGGGGAAUACCCAAUAUACUAGAGGGCAUCAAAAAUUCAAAUGUACAAAGGAGACACGGACCCGGAGGACUACCUACACUCCUUCCGAACAGGUAUAGAGGACUAGACUCCACGUAGGGACAUCUGCUGUCGGAUGUUCCGAAAGACCCUCAUCGAGGAUGCGGUAGGAUGGUACAAAGGUCUCCCGGUGGUUAGCAUUCAUACUUACGUCGACUUCAAAAAAGCAUCCAGGGUAGCUUUUGCCCACCAAGUUAGACGAAAAAAGUGAAAAUCACCCUACUCGGCGUCAAGUAGGGGGACAACGAGACUAUCCACGAUUACAAUGAACCGUUUUGCGGGAGCGGUCCAGAAGAUAGAAGGCAUCCAUGAAGAAAAUAUACUCUUGGCACUUAGUAACAGUCUGAGACUCACCUACUACGUGGGAUCCCUCGUAAGGGACCCGGUGAACUCGUUCGCAGGGGCAAUGGAAAGGUCCACAGAGAGGCGAACGUAGAAGAAUAUUUGGAACCAAAAUUCAAAGCCUUCAAACAACAACCAAAAGGAGGAGGCAAAAAAAUAAUUGCCAAAAGAGAGAAACAUCCAACGCCCAACCUAAGAGCAUGAAGGAGGAAACACGAUCGGGGGUGAAGCCGUAUGAGGGAAACCCACAAGGAGGGUACCGCAAGGAGGCAGGACCCGUGCGAACGGGGCAUGCCUAAAUAUGACCAACCCCUGAGAUAAACCAACGAUAGGUAUUCCUUACCUUAAAGGGAAAAUGUACCCUACCAAAAGAACAUCCUAUGUGGAUCGAAUCCACCGCGUACCAAGAAAGCAAGCUGAGAUCGGCGCCCAACGCUUCGUCACCACCAUACGCUCUAGGAGGAAGGGCGGUGAUCAUCCCCACAGGGCACAAAGUCCCAAAACAAGAAUUCCGAAAGGAAUAAAGCCAAGAAAAGAGAAAGUAGAAGCGGUGAAGGCCAUAACCUCACCACGAACCAUAAAAGAAGUCCAACG